RNAcentral lists this long non-coding RNA (277 nucleotides) under Setaria viridis. Its description in RNAcentral is "long non-coding RNA (SVIR_LNC007237)". The record is from RNAcentral. Lineage: Eukaryota; Viridiplantae; Streptophyta; Magnoliopsida; Poales; Poaceae.
GGUGAACAAAAUGUUGGUCCAGUUCUAUGACUGAAUUAACCAUCCCCAAUUCCUCUUGCAACUAAAAUUUGGAAACUUGAUGAAGCAUCUGCACACAAUGAGUGACAACUUUUCUUCUCAAAAGGCCUUUUAAUUUCCUAGCACUAAUGGUUGUGAAUCCGGUCACCUCAGGUUAAACCCCUCUCAGUGUGAUCCUCUUGCCUUGAUAAGUGAAUUUUAUGGUUUUCUUCUUCCAAUGUACCCACAUGGGACUACAUUCCUCCAACCAAUCUUCUCC